GCCCAGUUGGUUAGGUGGGAAAGUACAAGGCUUGUAGCGCCUCAAGCAUGUGGUCUGGGGUUCGACUCCCCUUCUGCUCA
This 80-nucleotide transfer RNA is filed under the name Oryza sativa Japonica Group (Japanese rice). Its description in RNAcentral is "tRNA-OTHER". The record is from RNAcentral. Lineage: Eukaryota; Viridiplantae; Streptophyta; Magnoliopsida; Poales; Poaceae.